Asterophora parasitica is the source of this 87-nucleotide non-coding RNA. Lineage: Eukaryota; Fungi; Basidiomycota; Agaricomycetes; Agaricales; Lyophyllaceae. The record is from the annotation of a GenBank genome assembly.
GGCCUGAUGGUCUAGUAGUAUGAUUUCUUGUUAGGGCGCAUUUAGCGCAUCUCGAGGAGGUCCUGGGUUCAAUUUCCAGUCAGGCCC